This 375-nucleotide ribosomal RNA is filed under the name uncultured bacterium. RNAcentral's name for it is "bacterial SSU rRNA". It matches the Rfam family "Bacterial small subunit ribosomal RNA", at positions 28 to 412 of the family's 1533-position model. The record is from RNAcentral.
GAUAAACGCUGGCGGCGUGCCUAACACAUGCAAGUCGAACGCCCUUUUGCGCAAGUGAGAGGGAGUGGCGGACGGGUGAGUAGCACGUGGGUACCUACCCCAAGAUGAGGAAUACCACCGAGAAAUCGGUGACAAGACCGCAUACCUUCGGCCACGAAGAAAGCUUCUCCUCACGAGAGGCGUCUUGGGAUGGGCCUGCGCCUGAUUAGCUGGUUGGUGAGGUAACAGCNCACCAAGGCGACGAUCAGUAGCUGGUCUGAGAGGAUGAUUAGCCACACUGGGAUUGAGAACGGCCCAGACUCCUACGGGGGCAGCAGUGAGGAAUUUUCGUCAAGUGGGGCAACCCUGAACGAGCAACGCCGCGUGCAGAAUGAC